Molecule: ribosomal RNA, 547 nt
Filed under: Bifidobacterium adolescentis
Lineage: Bacteria; Bacillati; Actinomycetota; Actinomycetes; Bifidobacteriales; Bifidobacteriaceae
Description: partial 16S ribosomal RNA
Rfam family: Bacterial small subunit ribosomal RNA
Source: RNAcentral
UCUCCUGGAAACGGGUGGUAAUGCCGGAUGCUCCAGUUGACCGCAUGGUCCUCUGGGAAAGCUUUUGCGGUAUGGGAUGGGGUCGCGUCCUAUCAGCUUGAUGGCGGGGUAACGGCCCACCAUGGCUUCGACGGGUAGCCGGCCUGAGAGGGCGACCGGCCACAUUGGGACUGAGAUACGGCCCAGACUCCUACGGGAGGCAGCAGUGGGGAAUAUUGCACAAUGGGCGCAAGCCUGAUGCAGCGACGCCGCGUGCGGGAUGACGGCCUUCGGGUUGUAAACCGCUUUUGACUGGGAGCAAGCCCUUCGGGGUGAGUGUACCUUUCGAAUAAGCACCGGCUAACUACGUGCCAGCAGCCGCGGUAAUACGUAGGGUGCAAGCGUUAUCCGGAAUUAUUGGGCGUAAAGGGCUCGUAGGCGGUUCGUCGCGUCCGGUGUGAAAGUCCAUCGCUUAACGGUGGAUCCGCGCCGGGUACGGGCGGGCUUGAGUGCGGUAGGGGAGACUGGAAUUCCCGGUGUAACGGUGGAAUGUGUAGAUAUCGAAAAA